UUUAAUAGAUAUACAGGAAGCUCCUUUCAAUGAAAGAGUUCUAGCUGGUAUUGGCAAUCCAUUUUCUAAAAUGAUUAAACACGGCGAAAUGGCUGAAAUGGGAUUGAAGGCCGGUAAAAUUCAAGACCUAGUCGCUCUUAAAGAUGUUGCUGAGCACAUCCAGUCCGGUUCUUAUGGAAACAACCCCCGGAGGGUCCAUAAAAAGAAAGAGGAGGAUGUUUCCUUGAUACUACAAGGACAAAAAGUCAAUCCAAGCAUGCCUAUGCAGAGGAGAAACUACUCCCCUUUUCCAGCACAAUCUUCAAACCCUCCAUUACCAAAAAGUGGAGAAGUGAAGCGACCUCGAACGUU
RNAcentral lists this long non-coding RNA (351 nucleotides) under Panax ginseng (ginseng). RNAcentral's name for it is "long non-coding RNA (PGIN_LNC000692)". The record is from RNAcentral. Lineage: Eukaryota; Viridiplantae; Streptophyta; Magnoliopsida; Apiales; Araliaceae.